Molecule: ribosomal RNA, 237 nt
Filed under: uncultured bacterium
Lineage: Bacteria
Description: partial 16S ribosomal RNA
Rfam family: Bacterial small subunit ribosomal RNA
Source: RNAcentral
GAUCAUGGCUCAGGAUGAACGCUAGCUACAGGCUUAACACAUGCAAGUCGAGGGGCAGCAUGUAUCUGGCUUGCCAGAUACGAUGGCGACCGGCGCACGGGUGAGUAACGCGUAUCCGACCUGCCGCACACUCCGGGAUAGCCUUGCGAAAGCAAGUUUAAUACCGGGUGCCGUAAGUACGCCGCAUGGUGUUUUUUACGAAAGGGAUUUACCGGUGUGCGAUGGGGAUGCGUCCCA